CUUCCCACAAUGGCGCGCGCGCACACGCGCUCAUGAAGUCCAAAAGCGGCGUUACAUUAUAAUUAGGCAAACACAAUAAUAAUGAGAACAACAACCAUCACCGGUACAAGCCCUCAUAGCGCCACUCAGUUGCAUUGCAGUCUACGAGACGUCGCUGUACAUUUCAUUACCAAGUCGAGCACGGGGGUGGGUAAAACAAAAAUCUCUUUACGUCUUGUUUCUAAUGUGAAAGGACAGUGUUCAUGUAAUAUUAACCACUGCGAAGCUAAGGGCCCGAAUUUCAGCAUUAAAGGCGAGGCAUUAGAGGCGCUACGCAUAGUACUCGUCGUGUCGUCGCGGUCUUUAAAAAUCCAUACUAUACCUAUAUAGAUUUCUCUCUGUGCCUGUGUGUCUCUGCGUGUGUCUUUGUGUGUCCGUGCGUCUCUCUCUCUCUGGGUGCCUGUGGGGAGCCGUGGCGCAGUAGUUAGCGGCCUUUUGCUCAUCAACCACGGCGAACUGAGUUCGAUUGACGAUCAGGGCCAGCAUCAGUGGUCUCCCUUUACGGACGAGACGCGUGAUCCGAAUGGGCUCUCACCUGAUGCGUGGAACGGCAAUGAACCAUGGGACGGAAGGAAGUGUAUGCUGUCGAUCGCUGUCUCCACAGCAUCCUCCAAUCCUGGACCACCCUCCAAUCCCAUGGUAUCGGAAAACACAGCAAAGCGGCACAUGUAUAUGAAUAUAUAUGAAGGACAUCAAUGUCCUCGGACUUCUUGAGUAAAAAAAAACACAACCACGUAUAAUAUGAUGAGCCACGUCUUCCUUGCAGUCUCCACACUGCCACCCAGCACACGCCUAAAGAAGGCAGCAGUCGCUUACUCACCAGCAGAGUGCCUCCAUACAGAGGAUACCUGAGUCAGUGGUGGAGCGUGGUUGGAAUGGGCCCU
Non-coding RNA from Petromyzon marinus (sea lamprey), 923 nucleotides. The record is from RefSeq and is a predicted model, not a curated record. Lineage: Eukaryota; Metazoa; Chordata; Hyperoartia; Petromyzontiformes; Petromyzontidae.